Molecule: ribosomal RNA, 483 nt
Filed under: uncultured bacterium
Lineage: Bacteria
Description: partial 16S ribosomal RNA
Rfam family: Bacterial small subunit ribosomal RNA
Source: RNAcentral
AUUGAACGCUGGCGGCAUGCUUUACACAUGCAAGUCGAACGGCAGCGCGGGCUUCGGCCUGGCGGCGAGUGGCGAACGGGUGAGUAAUGCAUCGGAACGUGCCCAGUAGUGGGGGAUAGCCCGGCGAAAGCCGGAUUAAUACCGCAUACGACCUGAGGGUGAAAGCGGGGGACCGAAAGGCCUCGCGCUAUUGGAGCGGCCGAUGUCGGAUGAGCUAGUUGGUGGGGUAAAGGCUUACCAAGGCGACGAUCCGUAGCUGGUCUGAGAGGACGACCAGCCACACUGGGACUGAGACACGGCCCAGACUCCUACGGGAGGCAGCAGUGGGGAAUUUUGGACAAUGGGGGCAACCCUGAUCCAGCCAUGCCGCGUGCGGGAAGAAGGCCUUCGGGUUGUAAACCGCUUUUGUUCGGGAAGAAAUCCUCUGGGCUAAUACCCCGGGGGGAUGACGGUACCGGAAGAAUAAGCACCGGCUGACUACGU